Molecule: ribosomal RNA, 438 nt
Filed under: uncultured bacterium
Lineage: Bacteria
Description: bacterial SSU rRNA
Rfam family: Bacterial small subunit ribosomal RNA
Source: RNAcentral
GUGGGGAAUCUUGCGCAAUGGGCGAAAGCCUGACGCAGCAACGCCGCGUGGGGGAUGACGGCCUUCGGGUUGUAAACCUCUUUCGACACCGACGAAGCCAUCUUCGGGUGGUGACGGUAGGUGUAGAAGAAGCACCGGCUAACUACGUGCCAGCAGCCGCGGUAAUACGUAGGGUGCGAGCGUUGUCCGGAUUUAUUGGGCGUAAAGAGCUCGUAGGCGGUUUGUCGCGUCUAUCGUGAAAACCGGGAGCUUAACUCCUGGCUUGCGGUGGAUACGGGCAGACUUGAGUUCGGUAGGGGAGACUGGAAUUCCUGGUGUAGCGGUGAAAUGCGCAGAUAUCAGGAGGAACACCGGUGGCGAAGGCGGGUCUCUGGGCCGAUACUGACGCUGAGGAGCGAAAGCGUGGGGAGCGAACAGGAUUAGAAACCCUAGUAGUCC